CGAGGUUUUGUUUCUGCUGCGGGAGAGGAGCGAGGGAGAAUAGGCAGCGAGGGAGAGUAGGCAGCGAGGGAGAAUAGGCAGCGAGGGAGAGUAGGAAUCUGGAUAUUUUCUCGACGUAUUCUCCCGAAAACAACGACGAGGCGACAAAAGCACGGGAAGAAGAAAGAAGUUGUGAGAAGAAGAAGAAGACGCGGAGGUCGGGCGCAGGGCGAGAAGGAAAGGCGCAGUCAUCACUUGUGGCGUCCUGUUGGGCGGUCGGUGAGCGCUCGGACCACGUCUGCAGAGAGCCAGUCCACACAGCUACACACAGCCCAGCCCUUCAGGAGCGGCAACGUGCCCCCUGGUCAAGUGCAUACGAGGUCCUUGUCUCGGAUCGGUUCGGGCCAGUGUUGAAGCUCAGCUGCAGCGCCGUGGCUCCAGAGGUGGAGCAAGGAGCAGCCAGACACACAGACUGAGCCGACACUAAAACGAUGGACAGCUCCCUGCACCUCCCAUCUCUCUCCUCCUCUCUUUGGACUGAGCUCAAAGCAAUUAGUUAG
Long non-coding RNA from Lampris incognitus (smalleye Pacific opah), 539 nucleotides. RefSeq lists it as uncharacterized. NCBI's taxonomy places the organism in Eukaryota, Metazoa, Chordata, Actinopteri, Lampriformes, Lampridae. The transcript has 3 exons. The record is from RefSeq and is a predicted model, not a curated record.